GACGAAGUAGCCAAGUGGCUUAAGGCUGGUGUCUGCAAAACAUCAAUCGAGAGUUCGAUUCUCUCCUUCGUCUCCA
This 76-nucleotide transfer RNA is filed under the name Bacteroidales bacterium. RNAcentral's name for it is "tRNA-Cys". It matches the Rfam family "tRNA". Rfam says of the family: Transfer RNA (tRNA) molecules are approximately 80 nucleotides in length. Their secondary structure includes four short double-helical elements and three loops (D, anti-codon, and T loops). Further hydrogen bonds mediate the characteristic L-shaped molecular structure. tRNAs have two regions of fundamental functional importance: the anti-codon, which is responsible for specific mRNA codon recognition, and the 3' end, to which the tRNAs corresponding amino acid is attached (by aminoacyl-tRNA synthetases). tRNAs cope with the degeneracy of the genetic code in two manners: having more than one tRNA (with a specific anti-codon) for a particular amino acid; and 'wobble' base-pairing, i.e. permitting non-standard base-pairing at the 3rd anti-codon position. Lineage: Bacteria; Pseudomonadati; Bacteroidota; Bacteroidia; Bacteroidales. The record is from RNAcentral.